RNAcentral lists this ribosomal RNA (207 nucleotides) under uncultured bacterium. RNAcentral describes it as "partial 16S ribosomal RNA". It matches the Rfam family "Bacterial small subunit ribosomal RNA", at positions 568 to 774 of the family's 1533-position model. The record is from RNAcentral.
CGCGCAGGCGGCUGGGUGUGUCCGGUGUGAAAUCCCUCGGCUCAACCGAGGAACUGCGCCGGAAACUGCCUGGCUUGAGGGUCGGAGAGGUGAGUGGAACUCCAGGUGUAGCGGUGAAAUGCGUAGAUAUCUGGAGGAACGCCGGAGGCGAAAGCGACUCACUGGACGACUCCUGGCGCUGAGGCGCGAAAGCCAGGGGAGCGAACG